Molecule: long non-coding RNA, 4743 nt
Filed under: Sus scrofa (pig)
Lineage: Eukaryota; Metazoa; Chordata; Mammalia; Artiodactyla; Suidae
Description: lncRNA (ENSSSCG00000054701.1)
Source: RNAcentral
GUGCAAAGCUGUUCUUGUAGUUCCAAACACUCAGUAGGCAUCAAAUGCAGUGGCUUCCCCAACCUUGCCUGGACACCCAAGACACAUGAGAAAGAUUUUUGCCCCCUGGAAGUUCCAACAAUUGCCUCUGGAGAUAUGAAAAGGGCCCCCUGCGAUGCUCUGUGGCUGAGCCCUCUCUGGAGGCGCAGGAAGGGGUGCGGGGACCAGCGCCCUCUGAGGAGAUUCCCGAAGCCAAUAUGGAGGCAGCGCGACUGCGAGCGUCUCCCACCCCACCCGCCUCUCUAACACUUGUGAUGACCCUCUUGCCUCUCACCCCGCUGCCCCCCACCAUUGCCUCACUUGUCCUUUCGCUCUGUGGCUCUCUGCCCUUCUUUAUCUGAGCUCAGGCUGCUGAAUACCUGGGACACGAGUACAAAUCCCCAGCUGCAGUGUGGUUUGCAUCCCCUCUGAGGGCCCAGGUCUAGACUUCCCCACAGGGGGCAUCGGGAUAACUGAGAAUUGUGGUCAUGUACCCUUGAAACAUUUUUUCCACUUGAGCAAGUGGUUGAGAAGAGGGGAAGGAGGCAGCUGCAGUGGCCUUCCACCCCCAGGAACUUUUCCAGGAGGCCUGGCAUCAUGGGAAUCUGCUCAGUGUGCUUUGCGGAGGUAUUUCAAUCCUGCUGGGACCAGCCUUGGAGCAGUUCUGGGCUUCCCUGGGGUCUUAGGCUUGAAUGUCAGCGUCUAGAAGUAUAGGAUUUGAUUUCCUAACCAGUUGUUCCUUCCCGUGGAAAAUGCAUGUAACACAUUAUUAGGUUUCCUAAGAGGUAUGCAAUGAGACUCUUACUGUGAUGAGAAAAGGAGCGUUUUUCCUGUAGCGCAUACUGAUGACAGCUAUUUUUAUUCGGUGGGCUGCAUAUGCUCACUGGCUAUGCACUCAACACAAGCCCUAUUCAAAGGAAUGCCCUAUUGUUCCCCAGGAAGGAGGUUUGAUGAUAAAAGACCUCGGUUCAUUCCUGGGAUAACACAGUUCUUCUUCAGACAAAUGUGUAUUCCAAGCAGGAGUCACCAGUCCGUGCCCAGCCACUAAGGAAUGGCCCUCAGAUAGCUGAGUCUUUAUAGAGGAUAUAAAAUCUGAAUGCUGAGAUCACACAAAAGUUAUGGUGGAAGCCUUCCCCCAUUCUAAAUGUAGGAGCGUUAAUCUGAACAAAGAAGUUUGGAUGCUUCUGAUAUAGAAGAUGCGCCAAUCUCUGCAUCCUUGCAUCAAAAUGGCUUAAAGCUGGUCCAUCUCAAGCUUGGCUCCACAAUGGGCUUAACUAGGGAGUUAAUAAUAAACAGAUGCCUGGCUCCCACCCCUAAAGAGUCUCAUUUAAUUGGUAUAGGGUGUAGCCUGGUGUUGGGCAUUUUUAUUGCUUCCUGGGUGAUUCUAAUGAGCAGUGAAGUUUGAGAACCACUGGUUUCAGCUGGAAGUUGAAGUGACAGAAACAAGGAGCAGGUGGAAACUAAGAUGGGGAGAAAGACCUGCAGAGCAGAAGAUCCGGCAUAAGGACAGUAGCGGGAGGAGAGUCAAGAAGGCCAAUCAAGGAGUUCUCAUUGUGACUCUGUGGGGUAAGAACCUGACAUAGUGUCUGUGAGGAUACAGGUUCGAUCCCUGGCCUUGCUCAGUGGGUUAAGGAUCCAGCAGUUGACUGUGAGCUAUGGUGUAGGUUGCAGAUGUGGCUUGGAUCCUGUGUUGCUGUGGCUGUGUUGUAGGUCAGCAGCUGCAGCUCCAAUUUGACCCCUAGCCUGUGAACCUCCACAUGCCACAAGUGAGACCCUAAAAAGACAAAAAAAGAAAAGAAGAAAGCAAAUCAAAAGAGGCAAUGAGUAGAGGAGAACCUUGUGAAUGGGGGCCGCUAAGCUACCAAAACAGAGCCCCUGCUGAGGUCUGCCUACCACCCAGGACCCACAGGGGCCUGCAGGGCAGGGCCGCUCCAGCAGUAGCUCUGUUCUCACAUUCUAUGAGAUCUGUUUCACAUUACGGCUGUAUGGAGGUGUCACUUUUAAAAAGCUCAUGGAAUGAUGUUACUACUGCCAGAUAGGCAUGGGCAGAAAGCACUUGUCUGGCCCUCUCUGGGCCACCUGUGACCUGAGCUGGUGUCACAUGCCAUUCUCUGGGAGUUCAUGAGUGUUGGUGCCCUCGAGCCAUUUUGAGUAGGUAGGACCACACCCAAUCAUACUGCAGUUGCCAUGUUCACUCUGAUGCCAUUUCUGAAUGGCACCCCCAAGACACAAACCAUGAAAGAAAGAUGGCUUGAUGCCAUUGAAUUCAUUCAAUCUAAUGGGAUAUAUGACAAGAAGACAGACAAGGCCGGUGAAACAAGCGUAGGAGCGGAGUUCCUGUCAUGGCACAGUGGUUAGCAAAUCCGACUAGGAACCAUGGGGUUGCGGGUUUGAUCCCUGGCCUUGUUUAGUGGGUUAAGGAUCCAGCAUUGCCAUGAAGGCCGGUAGCUACAGCUACGAUUGGAUCCUUAGCCUGGGAACCUCCAUAUGCCAUAGGAUGCAGCCCUAGAAAAGGCAAAAAGACAAAAAAACAAGUGUAGGAGCAUCUUUAGGGAAUAUUCAUUGACUUCAUCCAUCCCUGGUUUCUAAAAACCAUACUUUGUCUAGCUGUAGAACCACCCCUCCAUUUCUAGGACCCAGGGAUAGAGAAAUGCAUUGCACGUGUCCUUCAUGGGCCAUCAGAGCUUUGAAGAUCCUGGCAGUUUUGUCCUCUUCUAGAUAAUUCCACCUUUUGAUGACCCCUUUCCUUUUGGAUUAUACAUUUUCGUAUCUUAUUUAAUUAUAACUGCUGCAAGAUGACAGAUGUCCUAGCAAGGACCUGGCAAGAGGCUUAAAGUGUAGGGCUGGGAACCCCCAAGUGAGACCCUGGGUGGAUGGCUUAGCCUCCCGGAGCUGGAGAAGCCCUGAUCCGGCUGAUGUGCCAUGACCCCUAAGGUCCUGUUCUCUUUGACCGUUGCUAAUUAACGUGGCCACCUCAAACACCUGUUUGUGUUUGUCACCACCUGUCUUAUGGUUCUGAUACCUCUGGCAUCCUCACGUGUGGCAGUUUUGAAGAAGCUGGUGUGUCCUUGGUAAAAGUUUACCUCCAAGACCAGCCUGUUCUGCCUUUGCCUCUGUCACUAAAAUGUUUGUUCCACUGCCUUCUGGUCUAGAGUCCACGUCACUCGCCACCAGCUGCCGGAUCAGCGCACGUGGAAAGUGCAGUUUCUCCCCUCCCGCCUCACCCUUCUGUCAAACUCCGGGCUGAUGCUGUGUUUGCUUAGUAACUGGAAGGUGUGAAAUUAUCCUCCAGCUGGUUGCUUGAUGCAUGUGUUCCUUGUUUAUGUGGGAAGGCUGCUGGGUUGUUUUCAUGAAGACUGAUUCGAAGGAGCAUUUUGAAAGGGUUCUUUGGGAUGCUUCUUUAAAGGUGUCUCUUAAGAAUCAGCCGUUCUCAUACAUUGAUUGUAAAUAAGCAGGGCCUGCAAGCCGUGGCCACCUAAGAAGUCUUUCACUGUUGUCACUGGAGUGACAUGUUUUCCUAACCUUCCAUCCUUCACCCUCAAAACUUAAAGGAGGAGCAGAUGAAAGAGCAUCUUUGUUUUUCACUUGUGGCUGCGUAUCACUUAAGUGUUUUUUUUGUUGUUGUUGUUGUUGUUGUUGUUUUUCUUUUUAGGGCCGCACUCAUGGCACAUGGAAAUUCUCAGGCUAGGGGUCGAAUCGGAACUGCAGCUGCCAGCCUACACCAUAGUCACAGCAAUGCAGGAUCCAAGCUGAGUCUGCGGCUUACACUGCAGCUCACAGCAAGGCCGGAUCCUUAACCCACUGAGCAAGGCCAGGGAUCGAACCUGCAUCCUCAUGGAUACUAGUCGGGUUUGUUUCCACUGUGCCACAACGGGAACUCCUUUUUUUUUAAAGUAAGUAAUUUUUUUUUUUUAAUCAAUUAUACCCUUGGACUUGCUCCCUGGCUUCCUUCAGUUAUUUGCUCAAACGUCAGUCUUCUCUGCACAGUCAAUUAAAAGCUGCAGCCCCCUUCCUACCAUUUCCCCAAUGCUCGUUAUUUUUUAUUUUUCACCUGUGAGACCUACGAUCCUGAAGUUAUUCGUUCUGUUUCCUCGCACUGGACUGUAAACUCCUCGAUGGCAGAAAUUUUCCUCAAUGUGGUGUCCCCAGUGCCUGGAAUGGUUCCUGGCACAUGAAAUGUGCUCACUGAAUGGUUGUGAUGGAAAACAUUCCCAAUGAAAACAAAAACAGACCUAAUAGCAGCUGCAUGGCAGGCGGAUGGGAGCCCAGGCCCUGAGCCAGGCAGUCUGACUUUGAAUCCCACCUUUAGCAUUGGCUGGUCGAGUACCUUAACCUCCAACAUAGUUUUAUCAUCCAUAAAAUGGGUGCAAUAACAAUAUCUCCCUCACUGGUGUCGUAAGUUGCCCUCUAAACACUGGCUGUUAAGAACUGUGUUGCUGGACAGGGUUAGCUUUUCCCCCGAGUUGAGUUCACUGGGGACACUCUCUCCGCUGAGGUUUUCAAGCUGGUCCCCUCAAGUCUGCCAGCCAGGAGCCAUCUUCAUCAUCACAUGGGGACCCCCCCCCCCCAGUCUGGGAAUGAAGGCAACUCAGAGGGACGCCAGAGGGACGCCAUACCGAGGAUGGAGGAAGAUUCCUGACGACAUUGUCUGAGCCUCUGGAUCCAGCCAGAUCCAGUCAGACCCUAGUCUUUUUGGUUGUGUGAGCCAAUAAACCGCCUCUGUGC